RNAcentral lists this ribosomal RNA (737 nucleotides) under Kocuria salina. RNAcentral's name for it is "bacterial SSU rRNA". It matches the Rfam family "Bacterial small subunit ribosomal RNA", at positions 60 to 807 of the family's 1533-position model. Lineage: Bacteria; Bacillati; Actinomycetota; Actinomycetes; Micrococcales; Micrococcaceae. The record is from RNAcentral.
AGUCGAACGAUGAUGCCUCAGCUUGCGGGGCGGAUUAGUGGCGAACGGGUGAGUAAUACGUGAGUAACCUGCCCUGGACUCUGGGAUAAGCCUGGGAAACUGGGUCUAAUACUGGAUACGACCUUCCGCCGCAUGGUGGGGGGUGGAAAGGGUUUUACUGGUUGUGGAUGGGCUCACGGCCUAUCAGCUGGUUGGUGGGGUAAUGGCUCACCAAGGCGACGACGGGUAGCCGGCCUGAGAGGGUGACCGGCCACACUGGGACUGAGACACGGCCCAGACUCCUACGGGAGGCAGCAGUGGGGAAUAUUGCACAAUGGGCGCAAGCCUGAUGCAGCGACGCCGCGUGAGGGAUGACGGCCUUCGGGUUGUAAACCUCUUUCAGUAGGGAAGAAGCGCAAGUGACGGUACCUGCAGAAGAAGCGCCGGCUAACUACGUGCCAGCAGCCGCGGUAAUACGUAGGGCGCAAGCGUUGUCCGGAAUUAUUGGGCGUAAAGAGCUCGUAGGCGGUUUGUCGCGUCUGCUGUGAAAGCCCGGGGCUCAACCCCGGGUCUGCAGUGGGUACGGGCAGACUAGAGUGCAGUAGGGGAGACUGGAAUUCCUGGUGUAGCGGUGAAAUGCGCAGAUAUCAGGAGGAACACCGAUGGCGAAGGCAGGUCUCUGGGCUGUUACUGACGCUGAGGAGCGAAAGCAUGGGGAGCGAACAGGAUUAGAUACCCUGGUAGUCCAUGCCGUAAAC